ACCGGCUGUUCUGCAGGCGCUGCCGGCAGGUGCCACAUCCUCGGGGUGACAUCGUGUGGGCACCCCGGUGCUGGGAUGGAGCUGCCACAGGCCCCUCGUCCACCUCAGCCCACCCACCCCCUCACUGCUGCUGCUGGACCAGGGUGGGCUACCGUCCUCUGAGGCCGUGUGACAGGGAACUGGUGGGAGAAGAGUCGCUUUUAAGAUGACACGAACAGACCCACCUGACAUCCUGGUGUCCACAGUGUACCAAGACAUCAAGGUGGCGACAGCAGCCCCCGGGGAUUCCGUUGUCUGUCAGCCUCUGGCACAAUGUGACGCCUCCAUGUCCUCCUCCCUGUCUCGCGAGCAGCCCUUCAACAAGCGCCACUGUAGAAGUUUCGACUUCAUCGAGUCGCUGGAAGAGCUGGGCACCCCCCCGGCC
This is a non-coding RNA of Cyanistes caeruleus (blue tit), 424 nucleotides long. NCBI's taxonomy places the organism in Eukaryota, Metazoa, Chordata, Aves, Passeriformes, Paridae. The record is from RefSeq and is a predicted model, not a curated record.